GCCGGGCGUGGUGGCACAUGCCUGUAAUCCCAGCUACUCGGGAGGUUGAGGCAGGAGAAUCGCUUGAACCCAGGAGGCAGAGGUUGCAGUGAGCCAAGAUCACGCCACUGCACUCCAGCCUGGGUGACAGAGUGAGACUCUGUCUCAA
RNAcentral lists this small RNA (148 nucleotides) under Macaca mulatta (Rhesus monkey). Its description in RNAcentral is "Metazoan signal recognition particle RNA (ENSMMUG00000061447.1)". The record is from Rfam by way of RNAcentral. Lineage: Eukaryota; Metazoa; Chordata; Mammalia; Primates; Cercopithecidae.